ACGCGAAGAACCUUACCUGGUCUUGACAUCCACAGAAGUUUCCAGAGAUGGAUUGGUGCCUUCGGGAACUGUGAGACAGGUGCUGCAUGGCUGUCGUCAGCUCGUGUUGUGAAAUGUUGGGUUAAGUCCCGCAACGAGCGCAACCCUUAUCCUUUGUUGCCAGCGGUCCGGCCGGGAACUCAAAGGAGACUGCCAGUGAUAAACUGGAGGAAGGUGGGGAUGACGUCAAGUCAUCAUGGCCCUUACGACCAGGGCUACACACGUGCUACAAUGGCGCAUACAAAGAGAAGCGACCUCGCGAGAGCAAGCGGACCUCAUAAAGUGCGUCGUAGUCCGGAUUGGAGUCUGCAACUCGACUCCAUGAAGUCGGAAUCGCUAGUAAUC
This 384-nucleotide ribosomal RNA is filed under the name bacterium enrichment culture DGGE gel band MC5. Its description in RNAcentral is "bacterial SSU rRNA". It matches the Rfam family "Bacterial small subunit ribosomal RNA", at positions 959 to 1343 of the family's 1533-position model. The record is from RNAcentral.